RNAcentral lists this unclassified non-coding RNA (238 nucleotides) under Hevea brasiliensis (rubber tree). Lineage: Eukaryota; Viridiplantae; Streptophyta; Magnoliopsida; Malpighiales; Euphorbiaceae. The record is from RNAcentral.
CCCUUGGAACAUGCAUCAGCUUUUUCAUGACCAAUCAAAACUUCAGAGGGCUCUAGAUCACUUUCAACAUCCAUUACAUCACAUAGAACCUCGUCGUGCUUGAGUUUCUUGGAGAUCGAGACUUGAUCAUCCAUGUCGACAUCCAUGAAAGCAAUCCAAUUCGAUUUUCACACUACUGAUAACUGAAAAGUCACCAAUUUUUACUUUUGUGAGCUUUUCACAGAGAGAGAGAGAGAGA